Molecule: ribosomal RNA, 213 nt
Filed under: uncultured Spirochaetaceae bacterium
Lineage: Bacteria; Pseudomonadati; Spirochaetota; Spirochaetia; Spirochaetales; Spirochaetaceae
Description: partial 16S ribosomal RNA
Rfam family: Bacterial small subunit ribosomal RNA
Source: RNAcentral
AGAGGUGGGAUGACGUCAAGUCAUCAUGGCCCCUAUGUCCAGGGCCACACACGUGCUACAAUGGGCGAUACAGAGUGACGCGAAGCCGCGAGGUGGAGCAAAUCGCAGAAAAUCGCUCUCAGCUCGGAUUGGAGUCUGAAACCCGACUCCAUGAAGGUGGAAUCGCUAGUAAUCGCGCAUCAGCAUGGCGCGGUGAAUACGUUCCCGGGCCUU